This 334-nucleotide ribosomal RNA is filed under the name uncultured bacterium. RNAcentral describes it as "partial 16S ribosomal RNA". It matches the Rfam family "Bacterial small subunit ribosomal RNA", at positions 338 to 669 of the family's 1533-position model. The record is from RNAcentral.
CCUACGGGAGGCAGCAGUGAGGAAUAUUGGUCAAUGGGCGCGAGCCUGAACCAGCCAAGUAGCGUGAAGGAUGACUGCCCUACGGGUUGUAAACUUCUUUUAUAAAGGAAUAAAGUGAGGCACGUGUGCCUUUUUGUAUGUACUUUAUGAAUAAGGAUCGGCUAACUCCGUGCCAGCAGCCGCGGUAAUACGGAGGAUCCGAGCGUUAUCCGGAUUUAUUGGGGUUAAAGGGAGCGUAGAUGGGUUGUUAAGUCAGUUGUGAAAGUUUGCGGCUCAACCGUAAAAUUGCAGUUGAAACUGGCAGUCUUUAUUACAGUAGAGGUGGGCGGACUUC